Molecule: ribosomal RNA, 2220 nt
Filed under: Triticum aestivum (bread wheat)
Lineage: Eukaryota; Viridiplantae; Streptophyta; Magnoliopsida; Poales; Poaceae
Description: partial small subunit ribosomal RNA
Source: RNAcentral
AUAUUUGACUUGAGGCUCAGAAAGUGAGCUGGUGUGUGAGCCAAUCAAGAAGACGUGUAGCUGGUUAGCACACCGCCGCCGUUACUACCACUUAGGCGGCGGCCCGUCAAGAAGAGACUGCGACGGCUGGCGAGCGACGAGCAGGGCGCCGCCGGAGGAUACGCCCCACGACGGCUACGCUAGCUGGUCUCGAGGGGCCGGACGGCAGCGAUCUCACCGGUUCUUGUUCGGUGUUCAACCUCCUUUACAACGCUCGUACGGUUUAGACAAUCCUAGUAAUUUAACGUUCCAGCUCUUCUUCCGAUCUCUCUGAGUUUGUUUCUUCGUCGAGGUGUUUGGACUUCUUCACGGCUGCACAGUCCUUUCAGAUGUAGCGGUUGAAAGGUACCACCUACACGAGGUUUUCUAGCCAUAUAGAGCCGUAAAACGGUCACUCUAGUUCUCAUAGGACCUAAAAUGUAUGUCAAUAACCAAUGUUUCUCUACUCUAGUACGAUCUACACCUCUGUACACGGUACCGCAAGGCGUAGAAUGCCUACUUACCCAUGUUACAUAGUCGACUACCGGACAGUGUAUAGAGGUGGCUAGACUCACUGUGCUCUAGAAACAACCUUGAUAUGUUCCGAAGUGUUCAAUCAUGAAGUCUGCUACUCAACUAAGACCUAUAAUAUCCUAUGACCAGUCCAGUGGAUGACUCCGUUGUUGACUUUAGAUCACUCCGUGUUUCUUGGGGUGAGGAUUCUCUCCAUCUUGUACAAGAACUAUCGGGGAAGAUGUGGUACAACCUAGCAGACCUCGUAUUCUCCUUGUAGCUUGUUAAACUGUAUUAGCUCGUAGGGUAGGAUGUUAACUGAACCGUCUGUUUAGUUCUAGAAGAUCGAAACCCACAGUACCUAAAGUUAUGUUCAGUUAGAUAAAUGGUUGUUCUUAUAGUCGUAGAGCUCUCAACCCACUCUCUCUCGUCCGACUUGGCCGAUGGAAAGCGUUCUGUCUUCAACCGUAUAAAGAUGGACAGUCGACGGUCGUGGUACAAGGGAGGCCUCGAUAGACUACGAGCGUAGGAUACCCGGUUCUUACCGCGCGAGUGUUGCCAACAACUACUGAAGAAACUGCAACCCCCUAGUUUUCUGCUUAACCUCUUGGAGUGACGUAAUCAGCUCUACAUUGUUAUAAAUGCAGCCAAUAAAAAGAGGGUUUUGUUUCAGCCCAAAGAAUACCAAUAGGAUCAAACAGUGUCCACCCUCGUGGUUCUCCUUUGACUCAUGAUGAGACUUGUUCAGCUCUAGCACAAGAGACGUUAAAUAUCGAGCCAUUUGCUCGAACCUAGUUUCCGAAGGUGUCACGUUCCAGCGCUACAGUGCCCUGUGGAUCAUCUUUAAACCGUUCUUAACGAUUCCUUAUACUACUGACUCCACCUUACCUCUUGCCCGCCUAUGCAAGGUUGAGAUCUACUCAUGUAUCUUUUACGUCAACACUGUAAACGCAACCCGGGUUAACACGAAGGCCGCAACAUGAAACAACCUGGUUUCUAAUGCCUCAGAUACCAGUAUCUAGGACUCAUGUCACUCAACAAAUCCGACUGCUCGUGAACGCCAGCAGAAGAGUUACUGCAGGUUUGGAUGCUCUCCCUCAUGUUUCUCCCAUUUGAGUUGUCACAGAGAGACGAGCACGAAGUGUUACUACCGAGAAACUGAUAUGGUCUCCGAUCCUCCUUCAACGUCUUCGGGUAUCUGUGGACGUCUUCUCUGGACGAUUCCAACCAGGAAUCCCUCCUGCUACGGCACGGAUCCGGAACGUUCCUUGACAAGACCUUGUAUACGUUCUGUACGAUGAAAAAGAUAAUAGUCCCUCUGCGUAAAUCGACGGUUCUCCUCUUCCGGCCACGCCACCUACGCCACUAUGUACUAGGUGAGGUUGAGGGCUACUUAGAUGAGAGACUGGAACUAAAUAGAUGAAACGCACUCUUUUGUUUCUAGUUGGUAAUUAAUGAUGAAGUACAAAUAUAACAACACGCACGCAGUAACCACUUCUACGUAUACGUAGGAACACAAUAUCACAUCGGAUUUAUAGCUUCGGAUUUAUAGCUUCCGUGAUGUGACCCGAAAUUUAAACUAUUUCGGUACUUGUUGUCUACGUAUCUCGAUCUCUUAGUCGAACAUCCGUUGCUCAUUAUGUUCAUUUGUUCUUUUGUUUAUCUUUUCUGUCCUAUACCUCAAAGACG